AACAAAAGCAGCCAUGAAUUUCAGUGUUCAACUUUGAUCGUCCAUCUUAUUUGAAUUUUUUUUUUACGAUUAGUAUUUAUACUGUUAUUAGAUUAUAAAACAUGAAUAAUACUUUAUGCGUGACUUUUGUUUUUUAGUUUUUUAAAAAAUAUUUUAAAUAAGACGAACGAUUAAAUUUGUACACGGAAACUCAUUGUUGCAUUUAUU
Oryza nivara is the source of this 207-nucleotide non-coding RNA. Lineage: Eukaryota; Viridiplantae; Streptophyta; Magnoliopsida; Poales; Poaceae. The record is from Rfam.